This 253-nucleotide ribosomal RNA is filed under the name uncultured bacterium. RNAcentral describes it as "partial 16S ribosomal RNA". It matches the Rfam family "Bacterial small subunit ribosomal RNA", at positions 524 to 776 of the family's 1533-position model. The record is from RNAcentral.
UACGAAGGGGCUAGCGUUGCUCGGAAUCACUGGGCGUAAAGGGUGCGUAGGCGGGUCUUUUAAGUCAGGGGUGAAAUCCUGGAGCUCAACUCCAGAACUGCCUUUGAUACUGAAGAUCUUGAGUUCGGGAGAGGUGAGUGGAACUGCGAGUGUAGAGGUGAAAUUCGUAGAUAUUCGCAAGAACACCAGUGGCGAAGGCGGCUCACUGGCCCGAUACUGACGCUGAGGCACGAAAGCGUGGGGAGCAAACAGG